GUGCUGUUGAGUCCCAUUGGUAUUAAGAUUGCGAUCUUGAGAGCGAUAUAUCCCCAGGCGAGUGACUUAACGGUUUCUGUGAUACAGUGUGAUUGACACAUAGUCAACAUGUCACCGAGACUAGGAUAAUUUCGGGUGAGAGUAGAUAAAUAUCUAAAGGGGAUGGUUUCUGCAAUGAUUCUUGCUUAACAUCUAGAUGGUUCUGGGAAUGCACUGUCGCCAAUGAUGGUGUUGGUUAGAUAAUAGGAUUUUACACCUAUUACCUGAAUAGCGCUCUGAUAUAGGAGCUCCGAGCAUGUGUACUGACACCAGCAGCCCAUGUGCUAUGGAGGGGGAUUUGACCGAAAACUCUGCAAUAAGGCAAAGGAUGCUUUAUGACUCUGAGUGAUUUCCACUACUCGAAGCGUUGGGAUUAUCUCAAAAUGUGACACAAUAAUUGGUGGGCCAUUAUGGUGUCACCCUUUUAGAGAAGACCAAAAAUGCCAGUGGUGGGGAUGAUUAUUAGGAACUACUGUAUAGGUAUCCCGUAUUGCAGAAUUUUCGUGACAGCUGCCUGCUCUACAGACGGGGUGCUUGAGAUACUACACAUCUACGAGGUCCUUCACUCAAACGGCACAUCAUGUAUAGGGGUGAUGUGCCCUUAUCUCAACAACAGCAUGAUUGGCGAAAGUCGAUUGCCAGAGCGAUGUCGGUUUUAACCAAUGACAAUUCCAGAAGCCAAGCGCGAUAGAGACUUAUGCAGACCUUCCUGAGGAUAAUGCAGACUCCUGGACGUGUUGACUACGUGUCAGUGAAGCGCAGGAGAGAAGUGUUAAGUUUACUCGCAGGGGAGAAUCCCCUCAGAUUAAAUUUAAUCGAGUGGGGGGCAGGACAGGGGGAAUCUGCGAAUAUCAUCCACUUGGGGCGGUUCCAGAUGAUCUAAGGGCCAA
This 929-nucleotide ribosomal RNA is filed under the name uncultured archaeon. Its description in RNAcentral is "partial 16S ribosomal RNA". The record is from RNAcentral.